UAAGAGGACUAUAACAUCCAUGAAUUGUCCAUGAAUUCAAUGAUUUGGAUGACUUGCUGUCUUAUAGACUGAUAGAACUGGAUGUCUGGGUGGAAACGAGACAACAAAUAUAGACAACUGCUUCUAGAAGUUGGCUUUGAAGAAUUUAGAAGGGCUGAAGGGAAAGAAAAGGGGAAAGGGAAGAAAACAUUGGGGAAGACACAGAGGUACUGAAGAUUCAUUUGAAUUCAAGGAAGAGCCACAGGAUGAAUUAACUUGGGUCUCUGAAUCCCUUUAGGGAAAGCCAAUCUCCACCUUGGUACGUACUGUAAUGUGAAAAAGAAAUAAGGUUUUAUUCUU
Long non-coding RNA from Bos indicus x Bos taurus (hybrid cattle), 339 nucleotides. The record is from Ensembl. NCBI's taxonomy places the organism in Eukaryota, Metazoa, Chordata, Mammalia, Artiodactyla, Bovidae.